RNAcentral lists this long non-coding RNA (283 nucleotides) under Mytilus galloprovincialis (Mediterranean mussel). Lineage: Eukaryota; Metazoa; Mollusca; Bivalvia; Mytilida; Mytilidae. The record is from RNAcentral.
UCGGAUACAAUUUAUAAACGAGUUACCCUAAGGAACAUUCAGUUAAAGUUUGGAAGUAUUUGGCCCAGUAGUUUCAGAGUAGAAGAUUUUUGUAAAAGAUAACUAAGAUUUACAAAAAAUGGUUAAAAAUUGACUAUAAAGGGCAAUAACUCCUAAAGGGGUUCAACUGACCAUUUCAGUCAUGUUGACUUAUUUGUAAAUCUUACUUUGCUGAACAUUAUUGCUGUUUACAGUUUAUCUCUAUCUAUAAUAAUAUUCAAGAUAAUAACCAAAAACAGCAAAA